This 390-nucleotide RNase P RNA is filed under the name Anaerolineales bacterium. RNAcentral describes it as "RNase P RNA component class A". It matches the Rfam family "Bacterial RNase P class A". From Rfam's summary of the family: Ribonuclease P (RNase P) is a ubiquitous endoribonuclease, found in archaea, bacteria and eukarya as well as chloroplasts and mitochondria. The record is from RNAcentral. Lineage: Bacteria; Bacillati; Chloroflexota; Anaerolineae; Anaerolineales.
CAGGUCAGCUGGAUGAUCGCUGGAAUUUGCUGUUAAGCAUCUUCCAGAGGAAAGUCCGCACUCCACAGAGCAUGACGCCGGGGAAACUCCCGGGGCGGGGCAACCUGCCGGAUCAGGGCCACAGAAACAUACCGCCAAACGCUGCGGUUGGAUGCAGCUUGCUGCACACAAUGCAGCGUAGGCAAGGGUGAAAUGGUGGUGUAAGAGACCACCGGCGCGGGCAGCAAUGCUCGCGGCCGGGCAACCCCCGUCAGGAGCAAGGCCGAGCAGGGACGAGCAGCGGCUCGCUGCGUUUGAGUCCCGGGUUGGCUGCACCGAGCUGGCCAGAGAUGGCCAGCCCAGACAGAUGAUCAUCCACGACAGAAUGCGGCUUACAGGCUGGCCUGGGAA